This 75-nucleotide transfer RNA is filed under the name Eubacterium sp. RNAcentral's name for it is "tRNA-His". It matches the Rfam family "tRNA". Rfam says of the family: Transfer RNA (tRNA) molecules are approximately 80 nucleotides in length. Their secondary structure includes four short double-helical elements and three loops (D, anti-codon, and T loops). Lineage: Bacteria; Bacillati; Bacillota; Clostridia; Eubacteriales; Eubacteriaceae. The record is from RNAcentral.
GUGUACGUAGUGUAACGGUUAACAUGAAAGGAUGUGGCCCUUUCGAUGUGGGUUCGACUCCCACCGUACACCCCA